AAUAUGAUUGAAAAUAUGUCAGUUGUUGAUUCAACGUUGAAAUAACCUUUAAUGCUACAUGGUUGAAAAAGGUUAACAAAAACACUUCUAAAUCAACGUUGAAUGAAAACAUUACGUUGUUUCAACAUACAGAUCUUGUAAAAAAAAAUCAACGUUGAUUUAGAAGUGUUUCUGCCUUUUAACGUAUUAUUAUGAUAAUUAAUUAGCAUUUAAUGAGUUUUUGAUCAUAACAGCUCUUCAAUGUAUAUGUUAAAAUAUAAUUAUCAUUAUUAACAAUAAUAGUUUCACCCUCAAGACAGCAGUGCAGCAGAAACCUUUUGCCUUAUGUGAUUUUGUGUGAAUUUACAAUUUUGUCUGCUUGCCUAACAGUUUACAUUGCAUUAUUACAUUUUUAUUCAUACACUGUCAUGUCAUUUGACCAAUUAAUUAAAUAAUAAUACAGACUGCAAAUAAAACUUAAUACACAGCUAUGUUAACUCGCGCAAACUAUUGCUAUUGUUAUUGGUUGUUUCGCCGUUUUACUUUGAGCAUGAUUGGUUAAUCUGUCUGUUUUCCAGGAAACCGUCCAAUGAGAAUGUGCGUGGCUCUGCGUGGCUCUGCGCGCCUAUUUUAAAUUUGAAAAUAUGUCCGUUACUCUCGGUCGGAGCAGCUGCUUUGCGUUGAUUACUCGGUCAGACCUGGAUUAUUUUAUAUCUGCCUGUUGAAUUCUUACAUUUUGAGCGAAUUUUUGUUGAUAUGUCAACGAAGAACAAAAGCUGGAAUGUGAACAGAGGAAGGGGUUGUACGUGGUCUGUAAAAACUGGCGAUAUCAGAUCAAGCAUUGGAAUACGAUUUUUAUCGGGGGAAAACACCCAACAGAAAGACACAUGAUUCACCAACUGGCGCACUGAAACGGGAGAUUCAUGUCACCUUCAUCAGUUCUUUCUUUAAUCACUGGACACCAUUAAGGGAAAGACCCUCAGAUACCAUGAUAAAUGCGGCUGCAGGUCAAGGCCUGGUGAGAGCCACUACAGAGGAUCAUAGCCAUCGUUGGAAUUCUGAAAGGACGUGGGUGAAUAUCAAUCUGCCAAAUGAACAUUCACAUCUGUAUUUUAAUACUGUGUAACGAUAUUCCCUUUGUAAUCAUCGGGAAGAAGGAGGCGGGAACCGGCGCACAAUCAAAAAGCAUUUUAAUAAUCAAAAAUAAAUACAAAACGGUAAUACACAAAUAAAAAGCAAACAUAAAAUAA
This is a long non-coding RNA of Carassius auratus (goldfish), 1229 nucleotides long. RefSeq lists it as uncharacterized. The transcript is spliced from 4 exons. Lineage: Eukaryota; Metazoa; Chordata; Actinopteri; Cypriniformes; Cyprinidae. The record is from RefSeq and is a predicted model, not a curated record.